This 253-nucleotide ribosomal RNA is filed under the name uncultured bacterium. Its description in RNAcentral is "partial 16S ribosomal RNA". It matches the Rfam family "Bacterial small subunit ribosomal RNA", at positions 524 to 776 of the family's 1533-position model. The record is from RNAcentral.
UACAGAGGUCCCGAGCGUUGUUCGGAUUCACUGGGCGUAAAGGGUGCGUAGGUGGCAAGGUAAGUUUGAUGUGAAAUCUCCGAGCUUAACUCGGAAAAUGCAUUGAAUACUAUCUGGCUAGAGGUUUGGAGGGGGGACUGGAAUUCUUGGUGUAGCAGUGAAAUGCGUAGAUAUCAAGAGGAACACCAGUGGCGAAGGCGAGUCCCUGGACAACACCUGACACUGAGGCACGAAAGCUAGGGGAGCAAACAGG